RNAcentral lists this ribosomal RNA (464 nucleotides) under uncultured bacterium. RNAcentral describes it as "bacterial SSU rRNA". It matches the Rfam family "Bacterial small subunit ribosomal RNA", at positions 330 to 792 of the family's 1533-position model. The record is from RNAcentral.
ACCAGACUCCUACGGGAGGCAGCAGUGAGGAAUAUUGGUCAAUGGCCGAGAGGCUGAACCGGCCAAGUCGCGUGAGGGAUGACGGCCCUACGGGUUGUAAACCUCUUUUGCCGGGGAGCAAAGAGCGGGACGCGUCCCGCCUCGAGAGUACCCGGAGAAAAAGCAUCGGCUAACUCCGUGCCAGCAGCCGCGGUAAUACGGAGGAUGCGAGCGUUAUCCGGAUUUAUUGGGUUUAAAGGGUGCGUAGGCGGACAGUCAAGUCAGCGGUAAAAAUGCGGUGCUCAACGCCGUACAGCCGUUGAAACUGGCAGUCUUGAGUGGGCGAGAAGUAUGCGGAAUGCGUGGUGUAGCGGUGAAAUGCAUAGAUAUCACGCAGAACCCCGAUUGCGAAGGCAGCGUACCGGCUCCACACUGACGCUGAGGCACGAAAGCGUGGGUAUCGAACAGGAUUAGAUACCCCGGUA